GACGAACGCUGGCGGCGUGCUUAAUACAUGCAAGUCGAACGGAAAGGCCCUGCUUUUGUGGGGUGCUCGAGUGGCGAACGGGUGAGUAACACGUGAGUAACCUGCCCUUGACUUUGGGAUAACUUCAGGAAACUGGGGCUAAUACCGGAUAGGAGCUCCUGCUGCAUGGUGGGGGUUGGAAAGUUUCGGCGGUUGGGGAUGGACUCGCGGCUUAUCAGCUUGUUGGUGGGGUAGUGGCUUACCAAGGCUUUGACGGGUAGCCGGCCUGAGAGGGUGACCGGCCACAUUGGGACUGAGAUACGGCCCAGACUCCUACGGGAGGCAGCAGUGGGGAAUAUUGCACAAUGGGCGGAAGCCUGAUGCAGCAACGCCGCGUGCGGGAUGACGGCCUUCGGGUUGUAAACCGCUUUCGCCUGUGACGAAGCGUGAGUGACGGUAAUGGGUAAAGAAGCACCGGCUAACUACGUGCCAGCAGCCGCGGUGAUACGUAGGGUGCGAGCGUUGUCCGGAUUUAUUGGGCGUAAAGGGCUCGUAGGUGGUUGAUCGCGUCGGAAGUGUAAUCUUGGGGCUUAACCCUGAGCGUGCUUUCGAUACGGGUUGACUUGAGGAAGGUAGGGGAGAAUGGAAUUCCUGGUGGAGCGGUGGAAUGCGCAGAUAUCAGGAGGAACACCAGUGGCGAAGGCGGUUCUCUGGGCCUUUCCUGACGCUGAGGAGCGAAAGCGUGGGGAGCGAACAGGCUUAGAUACCCUGGUAGUCCACGCUGUAAACGGUGGGUACUAGGUGUGGGGUCCAUUCCACGGGUUCCGUGCCGUAGCUAACGCUUUAAGUACCCCGCCUGGGGAGUACGGCCGCAAGGCUAAAACUCAAAGGAAUUGACGGGGCCCCGCACAAGCGGCGGAGCAUGCGGAUUAAUUCGAUGCAACGCGUAGAACCUUACCUGGGUUUGACAUGGAUCGGGAGUGCUCAGAGAUGGGUGUGCCUCUUUUGGGGUCGGUUCACAGGUGGUGCAUGCCUGUCGUCAGCUCGUGUCGUGAGAUGUUGGGUUAAGUCCCGCAACGAGCGCAACCCUUGUUCACUGUUGCCAGCACGUUAUGGUGGGGACUCAGUGGAGACCGCCGGGGUCAACUCGGAGGAAGGUGGGGAUGACGUCAAGUCAUCAUGCCCCUUAUGUCCAGGGCUUCACGCAUGCUACAAUGGCUGGUACAGAGAGUGGCGAGCCUGUGAGGGUGAGCGAAUCUCGGAAAGCCGGUCUCAGUUCGGAUUGGGGCCUGCAACUCGACCUCAUGAAGUCGGAGUCGCUAGUAAUCGCAGAUCAGCAACGCUGCGGUGAAUACGUUCCCGGGGCU
RNAcentral lists this ribosomal RNA (1346 nucleotides) under uncultured bacterium. RNAcentral's name for it is "partial 16S ribosomal RNA". It matches the Rfam family "Bacterial small subunit ribosomal RNA", at positions 28 to 1381 of the family's 1533-position model. The record is from RNAcentral.